This 253-nucleotide ribosomal RNA is filed under the name uncultured bacterium. RNAcentral describes it as "partial 16S ribosomal RNA". It matches the Rfam family "Bacterial small subunit ribosomal RNA", at positions 524 to 776 of the family's 1533-position model. The record is from RNAcentral.
GACGAGGGACCCUAGCGUUGUUCGGAAUCAUUGGGCGUAAAGCGGGUGUAGGCGACUAUUCAAGUCGAAUGUGAAAUCCUUGGGCUCAACCCAAGAAGUGCGUUCGAUACUGUUUAGUUUGAGUGUUGGAGAGGUUACCGGAAUUCAUGGUGUAGUGGUGAAAUACGUAGAUAUCAUGAGGAACAUCGGAGGCGAAGGCGGGUAACUGGCCAAACACUGACGCUGAGACCCGAAAGCGUGGGGAUCAAACAGG